GAUGAACGCUGGCGGCGUGCCUAACACAUGCAAGUCGAGCGAACGGACGAGAAGCUCGCUUCCCUGCUGUUAGCGGCGGACGGGCGAGUAACACGUGCAUAACCUACCUCUAAUACUGGGAUAAUUUCGGGAAACCGGAGAUAAUACCGGCUGAUAUUUUGAACCGCAUGGUUCAAAAGUGCAAGACGCUUUUGCUGUCACUUAUAGAUGGAUCCGCGCUGCAUUAGCUAGUUGGUAAGGUAACGGCUUACCAAGGCAACGAUGCAUAGCCGACCUGAGAGGGUGAUCGGCCACACUGGAACUGAGACACGGUCCAGACUCCUACGGGAGGCAGCAGUGGGGAAUCUUGCGCAAUGGGCGAAAGCCUGACGCAGCAACGCCGCGUGGGUGAUGAAGGUCUUCGGAUCGUAAAGCUCUGUUAUUGGGGAAGAACAGAUGUGUGAGUAACUGUGCACAUCUUGACGGUACCUAAACAAAAAGCCACGGCUAACUACGUG
RNAcentral lists this ribosomal RNA (497 nucleotides) under uncultured bacterium. RNAcentral's name for it is "partial 16S ribosomal RNA". It matches the Rfam family "Bacterial small subunit ribosomal RNA", at positions 28 to 507 of the family's 1533-position model. The record is from RNAcentral.